UUUUUACUCCUUGCUUCCGCUAGUCUCAAAUUGGGUUCCUAGCAUCAUUCCUAGGUCCAUUAGCUCGUGCAUAGCUAAGUGGACUUGAUUUUGCUAGAAGAGAGGUUUGUGGAUUGAUUUGGGAUUUAGCCGAGGUUCUUUGAGAAAUUUUGAAUCGGCUCCCAUUCACCCCCCCUCUGGUCGCCUAUCUUGGUCCUUCAAAACAUCGUUAAAGAAACUGAAAGCCAAAGGACUCGGGGCAGGGCAACAAAUGCAUAGAGAGUAAAACGACAUCUUCAACUAGCCGCCCAGCUCCCAAUUAUGAACCUUGAUAGAGCAUUCGAAGCAGUGGCAAACACGGCAACACAAUACGCCACUCGCCACUAUUGCCUCCAUCGACCUCAUUA
RNAcentral lists this long non-coding RNA (386 nucleotides) under Setaria viridis. RNAcentral describes it as "long non-coding RNA (SVIR_LNC003304)". The record is from RNAcentral. Lineage: Eukaryota; Viridiplantae; Streptophyta; Magnoliopsida; Poales; Poaceae.